Molecule: transfer RNA, 103 nt
Organism: Saccharomyces arboricola H-6
Lineage: Eukaryota; Fungi; Ascomycota; Saccharomycetes; Saccharomycetales; Saccharomycetaceae
Rfam family: tRNA
About the family: Transfer RNA (tRNA) molecules are approximately 80 nucleotides in length. Their secondary structure includes four short double-helical elements and three loops (D, anti-codon, and T loops).
Source: Rfam
GGGCGUGUGGUCUAGUGGUAUGAUUCUCGCUUUGGGCAGUUUCCUCUUAAAACAGGAAUGCAAAGCAUGCGAGAGGCCCUGGGUUCAAUUCCCAGCUCGCCCC